GUGCCUUCGGGAACUGUGAGACAGGUGCUGCAUGGCUGUCGUCAGCUCGUGUUGUGAAAUGUUGGGUUAAGUCCCGCAACGAGCGCAACCCUUAUCCUUUGUUGCCAGCGAUUAGGUCGGGAACUCAAAGGAGACUGCCAGUGAUAAACUGGAGGAAGGUGGGGAUGACGUCAAGUCAUCAUGGCCCUUACGACCAGGGCUACACACGUGCUACAAUGGCGCAUACAAAGAGAAGCGA
Molecule: ribosomal RNA, 238 nt
Filed under: Salmonella enterica subsp. enterica serovar London
Lineage: Bacteria; Pseudomonadati; Pseudomonadota; Gammaproteobacteria; Enterobacterales; Enterobacteriaceae
Description: partial 16S ribosomal RNA
Rfam family: Bacterial small subunit ribosomal RNA
Source: RNAcentral